Molecule: ribosomal RNA, 253 nt
Filed under: uncultured bacterium
Lineage: Bacteria
Description: partial 16S ribosomal RNA
Rfam family: Bacterial small subunit ribosomal RNA
Source: RNAcentral
UACGUAGGGUGCAAGCGUUGUCCGGAAUUAUUGGGCGUAAAGAGCUCGUAGGCGGUUUGUCGCGUCUGCUGUGAAAACUCGGGGCUUAACCCCGGGCCUGCAGUGGGUACGGGCAGACUAGAGUGCGGUAGGGGAGACUGGAAUUCCUGGUGUAGCGGUGAAAUGCGUAGAUAUCAGGAGGAACACCGGUGGCGAAGGCGGUUCUCUGGGACGGUACUGACGCUGAGGAGCGAAAGCGUGGGGAGCAAACAGG